RNAcentral lists this ribosomal RNA (1497 nucleotides) under uncultured Bordetella sp. RNAcentral describes it as "partial 16S-23S ribosomal RNA intergenic spacer". It matches the Rfam family "Bacterial small subunit ribosomal RNA". The record is from RNAcentral. Lineage: Bacteria; Pseudomonadati; Pseudomonadota; Betaproteobacteria; Burkholderiales; Alcaligenaceae.
AGUUCGAUUAUGGCUCAGAUUGAACGCUGGCGGGAUGCUGCGAGAAGCUACACAUGCAAGUCAGACAGCGGCACGGACGAUUCUGGUGGCGGUGAACGGGUGAGUAAUCUCCGGAACGUACCUAGUAGCGGGGGAUAACUACGCGAAAGCGUAAUAAUACCGCAUACGCCCUUCAAAGGGAAGCGGGGGACCUUCGGGCCUCGCACUAUUAGAGCAGCCGAUAUCGGAUUAGCUAGUUGGUGGGGUAACGGCUCACCAAGGCGACGAUCCGUAGCUGGUUUGAGAGGACGACCAGCCACACUGGGACUGAGACACGGCCCAGACUCCUACGGGAGGCAGCAGUGGGGAAUUUUGGACAAUGGAAACCUGAUCCAGCCAUCCCGCGUGUACGAUGAAGGCCUUCGGGUUGUAAAGCACUUUUGGCAGGAAAAACGGCACGGGAUACCCGUGCAACUGACGACACCUGCAGAAUAAGCACCUGACUAACGUGCCAGCAGCCGAAUAAUACGUAGGGUGCAAGGAAGCGUUAAUCAGAUUACUGGGCGUAAAAGCGUGCGCGAGGCGGUUCCGGAAAGAAAGAUGUGAAAUCCCAGAGCUUAACUUUGGAACUGCAUUUUUAACUACCGGGCUAGAGUGCGUGUCAGAGGGAGGUGGAACCGCGUGUAGCAGUGAAAUGCGUAGAUAUGCGGAGGAACACCAAAUGGCGAAACAGCAUCACUGGGAUAACACUGACGCUCGUACGCGAAAAGCGUGGGGAGCAAACAGGAUUAGAUGCCGCAGGCGGUCACACGCCCUAAACGAUGUCAACUAGCUGUUGGGGCCUUCGGGCCUUGGUAGCGCAGCUAACGCGUGAAGUUGACCGCCUGGGGAGUACGGUCGCAAGAUUAAGAGAACUCAAAGAGAUUGACGGGGACCCGCACAAGCGGUGGAUGAUGUGGAUUAAUUCGAUGCAACGCGAAAACCUUUACCUACCUUAGCAGGCAUGUCUGGAAUCCCGAGAGAGAUUUGGGAGUGCUCGCAAGAGAACCGGAACACAGGUGCUGCAUGGCUGUCGUCAAAGCUCUGUGUCGUGAGAUGUUGGGUUAAGUCCUGACAGGCGCAACCGCCGUCAUUAGUUGCUGCUGAAAGGGCACUCUAAUGAGACUGCCGGUGACAAACCGGAGGAAGGUGGGGAUGACGUCAAGCCUCAUGGCCCUUAUGGUGAGGGCUUCACGUCGCUGCAAAUGGUCAGGACAGAGGGUAACCAACCCGCGAGGAGCCAAUCAGAAACCCGAUCGUAGUCCGGAUCGCAGUCUGCAACUCGACUGCGUGAAGUCGAAAUCGCUAGUAAUCGUGGAUCAGAAUGCCGCGGUGAAUGCAGUUCCCGGGCCUUACGUACACACCGCCCGUCACACCAUGGGAGUUGGUUUUACCCAGGAAGGUACUGUGCUAACCGCAAGAGUGCAGGCAACCACCGGCGGUAGGGUCAGCGACUGGGAAUUAUCGUAACAAAGGUAG